RNAcentral lists this ribosomal RNA (431 nucleotides) under uncultured organism. RNAcentral's name for it is "bacterial SSU rRNA". It matches the Rfam family "Bacterial small subunit ribosomal RNA", at positions 29 to 507 of the family's 1533-position model. The record is from RNAcentral.
AACGAACGCUGGCGGCAGGCUUAACACAUGCAAGUCGAGCGCACCUUCGGGUGAGCGGCGGACGGGUGAGUAACGCGUGGGAACGUGCCCUUUUCUGCGGAAUAGCCUCUGGAAACGGAGAGUAAUACCGCAUACGCCCUUCGGGGGAAAGAUUUAUCGGAGAAGGAUCGGCCCGCGUUAGAUUAGAUAGUUGGUGGGGUAAUGGCCUACCAAGUCUACGAUCUAUAGCUGGUUUGAGAGGAUGAUCAGCCACACUGGGACUGAGACACGGCCCAGACUCCUACGGGAGGCAGCAGUGAGGAAUCUUGGACAAUGGGGGAAACCCUGAUCCAGCCAUGCCGCGUGAGUGAUGAAGGCCUUAGGGUCGUAAAGCUCUUUCGCCUGGGAUGAUAAUGACAGUACCAGGUAAAGAAACCCCGGCUAACUCCGUG